Molecule: small RNA, 122 nt
Filed under: Pseudooceanicola atlanticus
Lineage: Bacteria; Pseudomonadati; Pseudomonadota; Alphaproteobacteria; Rhodobacterales; Paracoccaceae
Description: Guanidine-I sequence
Rfam family: Guanidine-I riboswitch aptamer
About the family: This family represents a conserved RNA structure found upstream of the ykkC and yxkD genes in Bacillus subtilis and related genes in other bacteria. The function of this family is unclear although it has been suggested that it may function to switch on efflux pumps and detoxification systems in response to harmful environmental molecules. Nelson showed that this riboswitch senses and responds to guanidine and it was renamed Guanidine-I riboswitch.
Source: Rfam by way of RNAcentral
GUGCAGGGCGUUUAGGGUUCCACUGGCAAAACCGCAUCAUUGCGGGUCAGGUUCGGUCCGAGAAAUGCCACCCGGCGGGCCAAUUCCCGCGGGGCACACGGCGGGGCAAAAUCCCGGGAGGA